UGGUGGAGGAGGCCGGCCGUGUGGGCACCUUGGAACCAGGCACACUGGAGAAGCUGGUGAACUACCUAGUGCCUGCGCAGCGCUGCGGAGACCCCUUCUUCGUGCCUGCCUUUCUGUGCACCUACAGGAGGUUUGCCACCACGCAGCAGGUGCUGAAUCUGCUGUUCCUCAGGUAUGGAUUCUUCCACCCCAAGUGUGAAGAGGACCAGAAAAACAAGAGUGCUCUGAGCUCCCUCCUUGAGACCUGGUUGCUUCAAUACCCAGGAGACUUUUGCCAGGGCCCAGACCUGACCAGUCUGAAGCAGCUCAUAGCCUAUGCAUUAAUCAACCUUCCACAUUCAGAAAUUCUCCCUGAAGUGUGCAUACUCCUGGCCAGACGUGGAACCCGCUAAGUAGGCGGUCAUCGGGUUGCAAGAUAGUUCAGGAUACUGAAGCUUACAUGACUCCAGUUGCCCUGUCCCUCCCUCCCUCCCUCAUUUGGAAAAGUGGUGUG
Long non-coding RNA from Octodon degus (degu), 493 nucleotides. RefSeq lists it as uncharacterized. NCBI's taxonomy places the organism in Eukaryota, Metazoa, Chordata, Mammalia, Rodentia, Octodontidae. The record is from RefSeq and is a predicted model, not a curated record. The transcript is spliced from 4 exons.